UGUAGGGUAUUGCUCCUGCCACUGUUAACCAACAGAAACCACCCAAAGCUUUCUCUUUUCUCCAUCUUUGGAGAAUCACAACUCCUUUCGGCAAAGUGAGGGGGGUAAUUGCAGGACGGUCCUCUGGGUGACCAGCACCUGCCUGGUUCUUCCCUCUUCCUUGCUUGUAGUUCUCAAAAUAACUGAAAUGUGUGGGGACUGCAACAUCCUGAGAUAGGUGACAGUGGGUGGGAACAGCCCGGGCUUGGUUCCCGUCCCCCCUAGAAACUGGUGUCAUUCAAUGUUUUAGCCUCUGGGUCAUGUGAUCUCUAGGGUAUCCCACCCAUGACAGGCUGCCUUUGGGGGUCCCUUAGCUGUGGUGCAAAUGAGGCACACAGUCAGACUCCAUGUGUGCUGAGCAAGUGUCCCGAGCCUUGGGGUCCCUCUCAUCAUGAACCCAGCCUCCGCUGUCCCUCGCUGCCUGUCUGUUGGUAGUAAAUCCGCUUCGUGUAACCAGUUGCCUGUGAGUGUGCUGUGCCUCCCUGGACUCACACGAGCUGGUGCCCAGUGACCUGCUUCACAGGAACACUUGCCAUGCCACGUGACAGAAUUGGGCGAGGCCACUCCACGUGGACAGACACCGAGUUGACAAUCCAGAGGGACCAGUUUUGGUGAGAGAUACAAGAAGGUGUGCCUGAUCUUCAACUAGACAGGGGGUUUUGGCGAGAGCCAGGACUCCAGGAAAGGGCACAGCCCAGGCAGCACCGGCCUGCCAUGUCUGCACUUCCCCCCUCUGAGCUCUUUCAGAAAACCUCGUUUCUGCUCCAGAUACGGAGUAUCGUCAGCAGAGCAGUGUUGGCUCUGGCUCCUGGAGGACAUACAGACAGGAGAAUUCACAAAGGAGGGAGGCGGCAGCUCCCAUUCCACCUCCUGACCUGCAGGGCAGCUCCCACCACUGUGGUUUGGGAGUGAAGAGCAGGCUCUUGGCUCAGCAUGUGCUCAGGUGUGCGCUGGAAAUUCCAGGUGCCGGGAUUGCAGCAGUCUUCCAAAUCCCAUGUGUAUGUUACACGUUUUGGAGUCGCUCAGCAGAACGCGUGUCCAGCCUGCACCCACUGGACAGAAGAGCUCUCGAGAGCGUGUUUUACGGACCGUGCGAAAUCCAUCAUUUCCAGGCAAGUACUUCUCCAAUUAGCUUUGUUUCUUCCCUCUUCAGAAACACAUUGCAUGGGUCUUCUCCACACGCAGGGCUGGGGGGUGCGGUGUGCUGAGGUUGUGUGAGGGUAUGUGGGUGUGGGUACGUAUGUGUAUGUGCACGUGUGCACGUUUGUGUAUGUGUGCAUGUGCAUGUGUUUAUAUCCAUGUGUGUUUAUGUGUAUGUUCAUAUGUGUGUGUUCAUGUCUGUGUGUGUCUAUGUGUGUAUGUGUUUUUGUGUGUAUGUGUUCAUAUAUGUGUAUGUGCAUGUGCGUGUGUGCGUCUAGCAACUUCAUCC
This 1468-nucleotide long non-coding RNA is filed under the name Callithrix jacchus (white-tufted-ear marmoset). Its description in RNAcentral is "lncRNA (ENSCJAG00000079522.1)". The record is from RNAcentral. Lineage: Eukaryota; Metazoa; Chordata; Mammalia; Primates; Cebidae.